GUUCCGUGCCUGCAAGCUGACUGGGGAGGAUUGGCCGUUCGCUUGGGCUCGCAAGCUCUGUGACGCGGCGGUACGGUGGCUGCAGCCGGGGCAGUUGGCAAGAGAAGCCAAGCUGGUUGACAAAGUCAUACUGGAGCAGUUUGUGGAGGGGCUGCCGGUGAAGACAGCGAGAUAGGUCCGGUGCCAUAGACCAGCGACAGUCACGCUAGCAGAGGAUCACCUGGCCGCCAAAGCAGAGGAACCGGGGGGAGCCAGCCGGCCACAGAGCAAGCAAGCCCCGGGGCCGGCACCGAGGUGACGGGCUUCAGCGCCUGCACCAGGAGGACAGGCCCUGGUGUGGCCCUAAUCUGUUUUCUUCUGCCUUGCCUCCCCAGGGAUCAGAGACAUCCAGCGCUGCCCCUGAACCAUGGAGAGCGGUGUAGACGCAGGGGCAGGAGUGCUGGAAGUGCGGGCAUCCGGGACACCUGAGGAGGGAUUGUCCUCUGAUGGAAGUGGGGCAGGUGUUCUACGUUGCCGAUGCUCCAGCACCCUCCUCCGGUCCAGGAGGGACAUACAGCAUUCCGUGACGGCAGAGUCGAGCGAGAGAGAGGGCUGGACCGGAACAGACUGUUUCCCAAGAAUGCAGAACUGUCAAAUAAACACAAUACUCGUCAGCAC
Oreochromis aureus is the source of this 657-nucleotide long non-coding RNA. NCBI's taxonomy places the organism in Eukaryota, Metazoa, Chordata, Actinopteri, Cichliformes, Cichlidae. The record is from Ensembl.